UUUUCAGCUAAUUAAACACUAAUGAAAACAUAUAUAUAUAUAAAUAUAUUAUAUUUCUGACAAUAGAUCCUCCUCAGUGUUUCACUCGGAACCUUUAACGGGCUCUUUGGGUCGCCAUGGUGAUGACACAGGAGAUCAAGCACACUGAGUUGUUACUACAGGAGUUGAAGGUCACUGUGUGUUUGUGUCGAUCAACAGAAGAAUAUAUUUUAAGUCGUCCUUUCUGGGAUGAAUGUGUUUCUUUCCACAGUUGACAGAUGAUAAUUGUAGUAAUCAGUGACAGUUAUCAUGUCGUCAGUGUUUUGUUGUGACUGCUGCAAAAUCACAGGAUUAAAAUUAUAGUUGACUUAAAACUGAAUAACUUUAAUUCAAACAUCAUUCGAGGCUGUAACAACAUUUAAAGACACAAACUGUCCACUAAUAUUCCAUAUUUAAUAAGAUGCAGAUUCCUAUUCAGGCCUCAUUAUAAAUGUAACCUGUUGAUAUUAGUUGGACAUUUUGUGGACAUUGGGAAUAUGUCUCAUUUGUUUGUUUUUUACCGCAGUGUGUCUGUUUACGAUCAGCUCUGUGUGUCGAAAACAAACCAACAAGCUGUUUAUGUGUGUUAUUACAGCGUUGUUAGAUAACCUUUUCAAGAAGGUGGCACACAGUUGAACGAGUCCACCACCGAUAGAAAACUUAGCUUAUUUGUCUCCAACAACAGGAACAAGUUUGAAAAGUAGUGAAACUCCUCCGUACAAAAAAACCUGUACAUUUGUUUUACAGAUUUCUUCUGUGUUUUUUAAAUAAAAUACAUUCCAAAAAUAUUCAGUCUAAUGUAAUAAUAAUACAAUCUGUAACUUUAAGUUGCACAUUUUACAAACCUUUUUGCAUAAACAUAUGUACUGUUUAUUUAAUAGAUUAAACUGUUAAGUUCUAGUUAAAUACUGUUAAUAUAUUCCUAAAAAUAUGUAAAAUUAGCAACAUUAAUAGUAAAAAGUAUUAGUUGUGUAACUUUAAUGUAUUAGUUAGUUAACUGACAGAUAUCUUGUAUAAUGAUGGAAGUUGAAUAAAUGUUGUUUAUCAGUGUAUAAGCAUUGGUAAACUGUCCAAAUACAGUUUUUAUCAGUGUAAACAGCAAUAAUUACUGUAAUUUCACAGAUAAUGACUUUUAUUACAGUUCUAUAACUUUUAACACUCAGAUUAUUUGUAUUAUAGCAGUGUUCACCUCAAUCUAUAGCUCAUUGCAUUGGUUUUACCGUCUAAAUAUAUUUAUUAUUAUGUUGCUAUCAGUCAAAUGCCUCAGUGACUAUAAUGUACAUGAUAAAUAUAAUUGUUACUGAUUAAAUACAUUAUAAUAAUAUUGAUAACUAGUUUAAUGUUGGAACCAGGAAUAUUUGGUGGUUGUAAGUGGCGUCGUUGUGACCACAGUGUCCCGACGGUAUCCCGGUCACCUGAGAAUUAUCAUGUAAGAGAGGAAGUUCUUUAACGAGAAAUAAGAGCAAUGAAAGCCAAGAGAAGAGGUAGAAAGGAUUUCGUUAAGUUGGAGAUAAGAGCGUAUUAUAGCCGGUAGAGGAGGGGAGAUAUGGGAGAGGGGAUAUGAUUCAGAGGGGACAAGGGGGACGUGAGGCACUUGUGGAAGAGAUGAGUUUUGGGCCUGUGGUGGAAGAUAAGUGUGAUGUUCUGACUGGAGUCGGCCUGGAGGUUUCACACUGAGCCCUCUUGGCUUCUGCAGCCUUUUCAAAACUCACUCAUGCAUUCUGAAUUACUACUGUCAAAAGAAUCGGGCUAUUUUCCUCUCAGAGAUAUACGGCCAUUACGCCGGCAGCAGAGAUAUUAAACUCUGUGCUCUUAUGUCUGUCUUCAAUAGUCCUGUACACUGUAAAAAAAAUACAGUAGAGCGAAAUCACAGAAAAUAACCCGUAAAAAUACAGUAAUUUACUGUAAUUACAGUUUUCAGCUUUAAUUUGACAUAAAAUCUUAUAUACAACAAAUAUAAUAACA
Dicentrarchus labrax (European seabass) is the source of this 1983-nucleotide long non-coding RNA. The record is from Ensembl. Lineage: Eukaryota; Metazoa; Chordata; Actinopteri; Moronidae.